This 490-nucleotide ribosomal RNA is filed under the name uncultured bacterium. RNAcentral's name for it is "partial 16S ribosomal RNA". It matches the Rfam family "Bacterial small subunit ribosomal RNA", at positions 30 to 507 of the family's 1533-position model. The record is from RNAcentral.
AUUGAACGCUGGCGGCAGGCCUAACACAUGCAAGUCGAACGGUAACAGAAAGCAGCUUGCUGCUUUGCUGACGAGUGGCGGACGGGUGAGUAAUGUCUGGGAAACUGCCCGAUGGAGGGGGAUAACUACUGGAAACGGUAGCUAAUACCGCAUAACGUCGCAAGACCAAAGAGGGGGACCUUCGGGCCUCUUGCCAUCGGAUGUGCCCAGAUGGGAUUAGCUUGUUGGUGGGGUAACGGCUCACCAAGGCGACGAUCCCUAGCUGGUCUGAGAGGAUGACCAGCCACACUGGAACUGAGACACGGUCCAGACUCCUACGGGAGGCAGCAGUGGGGAAUAUUGCACAAUGGGCGCAAGCCUGAUGCAGCCAUGCCGCGUGUAUGAAGAAGGCCUUCGGGUUGUAAAGUACUUUCAGCGGGGAGGAAGGGAGUAAAGUUAAUACCUUUGCUCAUUGACGUUACCCGCAGAAGAAGCACCGGCUAACUCCGUG